CCCGCGCCUGCAGUGGGUACGGGCAGACUAGAGUGCGGUAGGGGAGACUGGAAUUCCUGGUGUAGCGGUGGAAUGCGCAGAUAUCAGGAGGAACACCGGUGGCGAAGGCGGGUCUCUGGGCCGUUACUGACGCUGAGGAGCGAAAGCAUGGGGAGCGAACAGGAUUAGAUACCCUGGUAGUCCAUGCCGUAAACGUUGGGCACUAGGUGUGGGACCCAUUCCACGGGUUCCGUGCCGCAGCUAACGCAUUAAGUGCCCCUGGGGAGUACGGCCGCAAGGCUAAAACUCAAAGGAAUUGACGGGGGCCCGCACAAGCGGCGGAGCAUGCGGAUUAAUUCGAUGCAACGCGAAGAACCUUACCAAGGCUUGACAUACACCGGAAACGUCCAGAGAUGGGCGCCCCGCAAGGUCGGUGUACAGGUGGUGCAUGGUUGUCGUCAGCUCGUGUCGUGAGAUGUUGGGUUAAGUCCCGCAACGAGCGCAACCCUUGUCCUGUGUUGCCAGCGGGUUAUGCCGGGGACUCAUGGGAGACUGCCGGGGUCAACUCGGAGGA
Molecule: non-coding RNA, 553 nt
Filed under: Georgenia sp. SUBG003
Lineage: Bacteria; Bacillati; Actinomycetota; Actinomycetes; Allobogoriellales; Allobogoriellaceae
Description: bacterial SSU rRNA
Rfam family: Bacterial small subunit ribosomal RNA
Source: RNAcentral